This 425-nucleotide ribosomal RNA is filed under the name uncultured bacterium. Its description in RNAcentral is "partial 16S ribosomal RNA". It matches the Rfam family "Bacterial small subunit ribosomal RNA", at positions 354 to 796 of the family's 1533-position model. The record is from RNAcentral.
GUAGGGAAUAUUGGACAAUGGGCGCAAGCCUGACGCAGCCAUGCCGCGUGAAUGAUGAAGGUCUUAGGAUUGUAAAAUUCUUUCACCGGGGACGAUAAUGACGGUACCCGGAGAAGAAGCCCCGGCUAACUUCGUGCCAGCAGCCGCGGUAAUACGAAGGGGGCUAGCGUUGCUCGGAAUUACUGGGCGUAAAGGGCGCGUAGGCGGACAGUUUAGUCAGAGGUGAAAGCCCAGGGCUCAACCUUGGAAUUGCCUUUGAUACUGGCUGUCUUGAGUACGGGAGAGGUGAGUGGAACUCCGAGUGUAGAGGUGAAAUUCGUAGAUAUUCGGAAGAACACCAGUGGCGAAGGCGACUCACUGGCCCGUUACUGACGCUGAGGCGCGAAAGCGUGGGGAGCAAACAGGAUUAGAAACCCUUGUAGUCC